UGAUCAAAGAGAAGAUGACGAUCUAAGCUGUGAAUUAUUUGAAGGUCAUUUACAAGAUGGAAGGCAGCUGACUCGUGUGGUACAUAAUGCAAGAAUUCCUUUCAUACAUAAUCGAUAAAAGCUAAAAUGGUGCCUGAGGAUCAUUACCAAGCAAGAAGACUGUACAGGCCUUCCUGAUAAGUACACCAAUUCUUGAGGGGAUUGCUGAAAACGAAAAAGUAAAAGCUGUAAAACAGUAUAUUCAAUGAGGCCAAAAAACAAAGGAAGAAAAAAAAAAGAAUUUAUAAGGUCAUUAUGAUUAUUAUGCAAAUUCGUCUCAGGCAAAUUUAAGGGAGCAAAAAUCAAUAAAAUCAAACCCUCAGCAAUUACUGGAGUUUUAUGUAGCAUUUUGCAUUUGGUUAUUAAUAUGGAUAGGCACAUUUUAGAGCUUUUUAAACUGAGGUAGAUUCUUAUAUGCUCAAAAGAGGAACUGCUCUAGUUUAUUGUACAAAUGCUCAAUCAUUAAGUGAAACCCUAGUCACUGCCCCAGUUUUAAUGAGUGUUGUAUAAUUAUCAAUGCCCUGAUAGUUGACUUCCAUGCCACUAUUCUGACUACAGCAUUAAUUGUAGCAACUAAAUUCAUAACAUUUGUGUUGUAUAAAAAAGAAAUUGCAUUUUUUAAGCAUCCAUUAUCUAUUAAUUUAGAACUCCACCAAAAGUGCCCAUCACAAAAGCCCAAAUUUGUAGUCAGUCACUGGCAGCCCCGGAUACAUUUGGUACAUUUUCGAAAGUGAUGGGCCCCCCCACCCAAGCCGGCUGCAUCCCCACACGCCAUAGAAUCUGCUUCCACCACAUGGCAAUAAAGAAUUAAAUACAUAAUUAACCCCCAUAGUAGGGCUUAUGAAAUACAUGUAAAGACAUUACAUAAAUACAUGUUAAAAUCGAUUAAAACAAGGUGUAUAGCCCUAGUAAUAAAUCGGAUAUUUGGAUGGAAAAGGACCAUCGAGUAGACCAUAAAGAACGAUUAUCAUUUUAUUCAGAUUGUCCUUGAUGUUAUUCAGACGUUUUUGAGCAAUAUAAGUUGUGGUAUCAAAGUGAUAUUUUAUUAUUAAAAUGAAUUAUUUUGUCUACCUAACCAUGUUUAUAUUGGUAUUUUCUUGAAAGCCUAUUCGAGACAACCAGAGGAAAAAGCGAUUCAGAAGUCGUAGGCUUAAAAAUUAGCAUUGGUAAAGUAAAUUUUUGUCUGUCUCUUUUAAACUAUUAACAUGUUGGUACCUUAUAUGACUAGGACAAAUGUAGCUAAAAAUCUGGGUAGAGGGUGCCAUGGGAUAUGUCACGCAACAAGUGGGGGUGGUGUUUAGUUUUUUUUGUUUAGAAAUGCUUGAGACCAUAGACAAUGAUAAAAUUUAAAUUGGAAAUUGGCGCUUUUUUUUUAAGGCCUAUUAGAAAGUCGUUCUCCUCUUUCAGGACUUCUCUCAUACCAGUAUUUGGGGGUGAUAAUGUUUAUUUAUAUAGCAUAUCUUCAUUGGAACUGCAUGCUAAUGAAAUUCAUAUACUUAAUUUAUAUGUUGCAUACAAAUAUUAAAGCUAUGAAGUGUGUGCAAAUACUAUUGUUAAAUAGUCGCACAAUAUUUUUGGAAUUGUCUACUUUACAGAAUGCAAGGGGCCCACAAAUUGUUUUCACCGCCAGGCCCCAUCAUUACGCCACUGAAAUCAUUGCUUUGGGUACUUGUAUUUAAUGAAGAGAUGCUACUUUAUUUUUGAAGACUAAAAUUAGUAUUCUUUGUCUAACAAAUACUGAUGGUUUCGAAUAAAAAUAAAAUUUUAUUUUUGGCCAAUUAGCGCAAACGCCGCUAUAAUGAAAA
Molecule: long non-coding RNA, 1844 nt
Organism: Anneissia japonica
Lineage: Eukaryota; Metazoa; Echinodermata; Crinoidea; Comatulida; Comatulidae
Exons: 3
Source: RefSeq, a predicted model, not a curated record